RNAcentral lists this ribosomal RNA (427 nucleotides) under uncultured bacterium. Its description in RNAcentral is "bacterial SSU rRNA". It matches the Rfam family "Bacterial small subunit ribosomal RNA", at positions 355 to 774 of the family's 1533-position model. The record is from RNAcentral.
UGAGGAAUAUUGGACAAUGGGCGCAAGCCUGAUCCAGCCAUGCCGCGUGGGUGAAGAAGGCCUUCGGGUUGUAAAGCCCUUUUGUCCGGAAAGAAAUCCUGUCGGUUAAUACCCGGCGGGGAUGACGGUACCGGAAGAAUAAGCACCGGCUAACUUCGUGCCAGCAGCCGCGGUAAUACGAAGGGUGCAAGCGUUACUCGGAAUUACUGGGCGUAAAGCGUGCGUAGGCGGUUCGUUAAGUCCGAUGUGAAAGCCCUGGGCUCAACCUGGGAACUGCAUUGGAUACUGGCGAGCUAGAGUGCGGUAGAGGAUGGUGGAAUUCCCGGUGUAGCGGUGAAAUGCGUAGAGAUCGGGAGGAACACCAGUGGCGAAGGCGGCCAUCUGGACCAGCACUGACGCUGAGGCACGAAAGCGUGGGGAGCAAACA